This 433-nucleotide unclassified non-coding RNA is filed under the name soil metagenome. Its description in RNAcentral is "partial contains 5.8S ribosomal RNA, internal transcribed spacer 2, and large subunit ribosomal RNA". The stretch from base 1 to 120 matches the Rfam family "5.8S ribosomal RNA", at positions 35 to 154 of the family's 154-position model. The record is from RNAcentral.
GAUGAAGAACGUAGCGAAAUGCGAUACGUAAUGUGAAUUGCAGAAUUCAGUGAAUCAUCGAAUCUUUGAACGCAUAUUGCGCUCUCUGGUAUUCCGGAGAGCAUGCUUGUUUGAGUAUCAGUAAACACCUCAACUCCCCUUUCUUUUUUUGAAAUGGGAGCUGGACUUGAGUGAUCCCAACGCUUUUCUCACCGAAAAGUGGCGGGUUACUUGAAAUGCAGGUGCAGCUGGACUUUUCUCUGAGCUAAAAGCAUAUCUAUUUAGUCUGCCUAAAAAACAGAUUAUUACCUUUGCUGCAGCUAACAUAAAGGAGAUUAGUUCUUGUGCUGACUGAUGCAGGAUUCACAGAGACAGCUUCGGCUGGCCUUUGUAAACUCGAUCUCAAAUCAAGUAAGACUACCCGUUGAACUUAAGCAUAUCAAUAAGCGGAGGA